CAGGGCCGGAUUAAGAGCACAGUGGGCCUGGUGCUGACCAUUAUGAUGGGCCUAAUUACGGAAUCUUAUCGACCAAAAACACUAAAACAGUCAUACCUCCCAAGCGUCAUAUAUCUGAUGGAGAUGGUGCUGGAGGGAAACUCAUAGAAUGCAGCUAUAAGAAAACACAUACUCUAUGCUAAUCUCUCUAAUGUAUGCUUUCAUCUUUCAAGUAAAUCCAUACCCCCUAACAGCAGUGUCCAGUGAAGCAGGAAGUCAAUGGGCGGGGUAAAAGGGUGUGCCACUGGCACGAAUCACGUGACAAGACCUGCCAAAAAGGGGGCAUGUUUGUCCAAAGAAUUGGAAGGUCAGCCUGGCAUGAAUAAAUGUCAGGCUGCCUGCCAAUCCUGCAGGCUGUCCAACUAAGGGCAUACUAUGCAGGCAGCACCUUGAGCUUGACAUAAAUGCGUCUAAUAAUGCGCUCACUCCAUGCUUUCUAAGGACUUUCCCCUAGCACUCGCUGGUCCACUUGUCUCCUUACCUUCUUACUAGCAGGCAGAAGUUCCUGGUUUGUAGUCAGAGACAGAGAAAAGGUGUAUGUAGUGAGUGUAGAAGAAAGGGGACAUGCCACAGAGACCAACGUCUGCAUUACCUAAACUAACUUUAAUGUCAGCCAGUCCACACAAGUUUUGUUCCCAUACAUCCCUCUUAAGCUUCCAAACCUAAAGGGACACUAUAGUCACCAGAACAACUACAGCUUAUUGUAUUUGUUCUAGUAAGUAGAAUAAUUCCAUUCAGGCUUUUUGCGGUAAACACUGUCUUGUCAGAGAAAAUAACUCCACUGGCCACUCCUUAGAUGGCUGCUAGAGGUGCUUCCUGGGGCAGUACUGCCUAGUCUGCAGCACUGCCAUUCAGUGUCUCCACCCUCUGCAAGCAGACACUGAACUUUCCUCAUAGAGAUGCAUUGAUUCAAUUUAUCUUUAUGAGGAGAUGCUGAUUGGCCAGGGCUAUGUUGGACUUGUACUGGCUCUGCCUAGUUGACAGUCUCAGCCAAUCCUAUGGGGAAGUAUUGUAAUUUGCUCAGACUACCACUUCUGAGCCAGCAGCUGCAGACUUGAAUACAAGUAAUAUUUUACUAUAGGGAGGCAAGAAGGGGCCAGGGUGGUGGUUUUAACAUAAUAUGGUCAGAAAUACAUGAUUGUGUUACUGACCCUAUAGUGCUCCUUUAGGCAAGAAUAUGUGAAGAGUAGUUAAGGUUGCCACCUUUCUUGGAAAAAAAUACCAGCCUUAAUCAUUUGUAUAAUUAAUUAGUUAUGCGUGACAUCACAUGAUGUAAAUCACAAGGAGUGACAGCAGAGAAAAUUCUGUAAAAUCACCAACAAACUAUUCACAGUUUGAUUCUGCUGUAUAGAUGGAUUGCUCCCAGUGUCUCAGUCUCACAAGUCACCUAGUGUCUCAGUGUCCCUAUGUAUCACAGUGUCCCCAUGUCACCCAGUCCCCUAGUCUCCCAGUGUCUGUGUCCCCAUUUCUCCCAAUGUCCCAGUGUGUCCCCAUGUCACAAGGAUACUGGGGACACUGAGAGACCCGGGGACACAGAGACAUGGGGACACUGAGACAUUUAGGGAAACUGGGAGAAAUGGGGACACUAAGACUCUAGGGACACAGAGACAUGGGAACACAGACACUGGGAGACUAGGGGACACUGGGAGACAGACACUUGGGGACACUGGGAGACUAGGGGACACUGGGAGACAUGGGGACAGUUGUGGACAUAGACAUGGGGACACUGGGACAUAUAGGGACACUGGGAGACAUGGGGACACCAGGCACGCUGAGACACUAGGAACACAGACACUGGGAGACAUGGGGACACUGAAACAUUUGGGGAGACUAAGACACUAGGGACACAGACACUGAGAGACUAGGGGAUACUGGGAGACUAUGGGACACUGGCUGGGAGACAGACAUUUGGGGACACAUGGGGACAGUUGUGGACAUAGACAUGGGGACACUGGGACAUAUAGGGACACUGGGACACAUGGGGACACUAGGCACACUGAGAGAUAUGGGACACAGACACUGGGAGACUUGGGGACACUGAGACACUAGGGACACUGGCUGGGGGACAUGGGAACAUAGUGUCUCAGUGUCCCAAUGUCUCCCAAUGUCCCUAUGUCUCACAGUAUCCCCAUGUGUCUCAGUGUCCCCAAGUUUCUCAGUGUCCCCAUGUUUUCCAGUGUCCCCAAGUGUCUCAGUGUCCCCAAGUUUUCCAGUGUCCCCAAGUGUCUGUGUCCCCAGGUCUCCCAGUGUCUGUGUCCCCAUGUGUCCUAGUGUCCCAGUGUCCCCUAGAGUCUCAGUGUCCCAAUAUAUCCCCUAGUGUCUCAGUGUCCCCUAGUGUCCCUAUGUUUUCCAGUGUCCCUAUGUUGUCUCAUUGUCCCCUAGUGUCUGUGUCCCCUAGUGUCUCAGUGUCCCCAUAUGUCCCCUAGUGUCUCAGUGUCCCCAUGUCCUCAGUGCCUCAGUGUCCCCUUUCCCCCCAUCCCUUACUUACCUGAGCUGCUGUCUGGACUCUGUGCUGUGUUGCUGCUCCCCCAUGGAUCAGUGAGUAGUAGAGAGAGGCAGGGAUAUUCUGGAACUUCCUAUCCCUGCCUCUCUCCACACACACACUGACCCCUACUGGCCGGUGCUGGUAUUGCAGAGUAAUUUCCAUUUAUUCUGAGAAAAUUAUCUGCAUUUGUAUUGCCGGUAUUACUGCAAUACCGGCACGGCCAGGCAGACUCAAAUACCGGCUGUGCCAGUAAAAUACCAGCCAGGUGGCAAACCUAAGAGUAUUGUGUAAAAAAAA
Non-coding RNA from Pelobates cultripes (western spadefoot toad), 2821 nucleotides. The record is from the annotation of a GenBank genome assembly. Lineage: Eukaryota; Metazoa; Chordata; Amphibia; Anura; Pelobatidae.